Molecule: ribosomal RNA, 494 nt
Filed under: uncultured bacterium
Lineage: Bacteria
Description: partial 16S ribosomal RNA
Rfam family: Bacterial small subunit ribosomal RNA
Source: RNAcentral
GACGAACGCUGGCGGCGUGCUUAACACGUGCAAGUCGAACGGUGAAGCGCCUUCCUUUUUGGUGGGUGUGGAUGAGUGGCGAACGGGUGAGUAACACGUGAGUAACCUGCCCCCUUCUUCUGGAUAACCGCAUGAAAGUGUGGCUAAUACGGGAUAUUCUGGGUCUGUCGCAUGAUGGGUCUGGGAAAGAUAUUGUUUCGGUGGGGGAUGGGCUCGCGGCCUAUCAGCUUGUUGGUGGGGUGAUGGCCUACCAAGGCGGUGACGGGUAGCCGGCCUGAGAGGGUGGACGGUCACACUGGGACUGAGACACGGCCCAGACUCCUACGGGAGGCAGCAGUGGGGAAUAUUACACAAUGGGCGCAAGCCUGAUGCAGCGACGCCGCGUGAGGGAUGGAGGCCUUCGGGUUGUGAACCUCUUUCGCCAGUGAAGCAGGCCUGCCUCGUUUGUGGGUGGGUUGACGGUAGCUGGAUAAGAAGCGCCGGCUAACUACGUG